GCAUGGGUGGCUCAGUGGGUUAAGCAUCUGACUUUGGCUCAGGUCAUGAUCUUGUGGUUUGUGAGUUCAAGUCCCACAUCAGGCU
RNAcentral lists this transfer RNA (85 nucleotides) under Felis catus (domestic cat). It matches the Rfam family "tRNA". Rfam says of the family: Transfer RNA (tRNA) molecules are approximately 80 nucleotides in length. Their secondary structure includes four short double-helical elements and three loops (D, anti-codon, and T loops). RNAcentral also lists the same sequence under 4 other names. The record is from Rfam by way of RNAcentral. Lineage: Eukaryota; Metazoa; Chordata; Mammalia; Carnivora; Felidae.